AUCGCUUCUCGGCCUUUUGGCUAAGAUCAAGUGUAGUAUCUGUUCUUAUCAGUUUAAUAAUGAGCUCUCCAAUACUGUUAAUAUUCUUUUUUGCAUACUGAGUUAACAAAAACAUUGAUAUAAUAUUU
This 128-nucleotide small nuclear RNA is filed under the name Suricata suricatta (meerkat). RNAcentral's name for it is "U2 spliceosomal RNA (ENSSSUG00005020608.1)". It matches the Rfam family "U2 spliceosomal RNA". Rfam says of the family: U2 is a small nuclear RNA (snRNA) component of the spliceosome (involved in pre-mRNA splicing). The record is from RNAcentral. Lineage: Eukaryota; Metazoa; Chordata; Mammalia; Carnivora; Herpestidae.